AAAGCUUCCCUCCUUCUGAGGGUUGUUUAUUCCAGUGUUCCUUCAGUUGAGUUUUCUGGGUACACAGCAGCCCUUGGCUUUCCAUCCCAUGUGCAGCCUCUGGCCCAGCACUUAGUCCACUCUCAGUCAUAGAGCUUAUCACACAGACUUGCUCCAGUGCCCACUUGUCCAACUGCCCCAAACUCCUGGAAACCAGAAAGAACACAGAUGUAUCUCAACUGAGUGCCUACCAUAUUUCUACAGGAGGAACUGUCUUCGCAUAAAAGCCCCUCUGCAGCUCCUUAAGCUGCUCCCCAUCGCUCGAAUUACCACCUGAGCUCUGCUUCCUGUCUGAUCAGCAGCAGCAUUUGAUUCUCAUAGGAGUGCGAACUCUUGUGAACUGCGCAUAUCCUACUGAUGCUUCAAUUGCCUCAUCUUUGGUCAACAAGAGCCUCUUCAAGACAUUGGCUUCUGAGCCCUUUUGACAUGACACUAUAGCUUUAUUGCUUUCUGGAAUGAAAAAGUCUUCUUGGUUCAUCUUGUAUAUUUUUUGCUCCAGACCUUGAAUCAGCUAUUUCUCCUAGGAGCCCUGGUUCUUUUGUGGGAAAUGACUUUCUGGAUGAUGUGUACUGAUGAUAUCACUCUUGGAUGGGCCUGCAAUGCAGAUGAGCUUAUGUGCAGAUGUAUUGAUUUUAUUAUUAAUAAAUGGAAGGGAUUUUAAUGGAACUGGCCCUGCUAUCUUAUAAUUGACACUGAA
Molecule: long non-coding RNA, 736 nt
Filed under: Homo sapiens (human)
Lineage: Eukaryota; Metazoa; Chordata; Mammalia; Primates; Hominidae
Description: HSALNT0401079
Source: RNAcentral